RNA transcript from Phragmites australis (common reed), 1721 nucleotides. It is a transcript of the gene named E3 ubiquitin-protein ligase RHF2A-like, with no coding region annotated. The transcript has 9 exons. The record is from RefSeq and is a predicted model, not a curated record. NCBI's taxonomy places the organism in Eukaryota, Viridiplantae, Streptophyta, Magnoliopsida, Poales, Poaceae.
UCCCGGUCGCCUCCCCCCUUCACCCCCUCUGCUGCGCGGCGUGGUCGGCUGGGCGAUUUGGGGGCGGGGAGCUCGGGCCGUUGCGACUGGGGUUGGGUUUGGUUCGAUUUUGUGGUCGUGCGUGGGGUUUGGUUUCGGAUAAUUCGGGCCGAUGUGGUGGGGGUUGUGCUAGGUAAUUCGGCGGUGGUGGUUGGCGCUCUUCGAGGGCUGUGAUUCUUUGCAAUGGCAUCUGGAACUGAUGAGACAGCUAAGAUGGAGAGUUUGACAUCACCUGCAGCCUUUGUGGAGGGUGGCAUUCAGGAUGCAUGUGAUGAUGCGUGCAGCAUUUGCCUUGAGGCUUUCUGUGAGAGUGACCCUUCUGCAUUGACCGGUUGCAAACAUGAGUUCCAUCUCCAAUGCAUUCUGGAAUGGUGUCAGAGAAGUUCACAGUGUCCAAUGUGUUGGCAGCCUAUUAGUAUGAAGGAUCCUACCAGCCAAGAGCUUUUUGAGGCAGUAGAGCGCGAGAGGAAUAUUAGAACCAAUCAAACUCGAAAUACAACUAUAUUUCACCAUCCUGCUCUUGGGGAUUUUGAGUUGCAGCACUUACCUGUUGUUGGUAAUGAUGCUGAACUUGAAGAGCGCAUACUACAGCAUCUAGCUGCUGCUGCUGCAAUGGGAAGGGCCCACCACCUUGGAAGAAGAGAGGGGCACAGGGGCCGAUCAGGCUCUCGUCCACAGUUCCUGGUUUUCUCUGCACAUCCAAACACACCUUCUGCUGACACAGUAUCUUCAUCUUCUGCUCAUGUGGAGGGAGAUAACGAUUCAAGUCCUGUGACCCCUAGAGCUAGUGAGUCAUCUCCACGUGCUUUUCGCGGUGGGGAAGCAGGUAACCAAAGUCCGGGGAUGCUUACCUAUGACGCUGAACAAGAUGCUGUCGUUUCUUCCGGAAAUAGUACUCCUGUAUCCAGUCCUAGGUUUUUUAACAGGAGACAUUCCACUGGACAAACUCCAGACAGGGCUGGACCAUCGGAUAUUCAGUCUUUCUCAGACUCUCUAAAGUCCCGCUUAAAUGCUGUUUCUAUGAAGUACAAAGAAUCUAUUACAAAAAGCACUCGAGGGUGGAAGGAGAGACUCUUUUCACGUAACUCAUCCGUGGCGGAUCUUGGUUCUGAAGUGAGAAGAGAAGUUAAUGCUGGAAUUGCAUCUGUAUCACGGAUGAUGGAGCGUUUGGAAACUAGAGGUGGUAGCAGAACAGGUGAUAGCCCAACAUCAUCCACUUCUGAAGUUCGUCCUGCUACAGAAUCAAGCGAAGAGAGGGUUACUGAGAGCAACUCUACCACUACUGUGACCACCACUACUACAAGUGCUUCCAACUCUUCCACCCCUUGUGUCACGACGUCUGGUUCAAAUUAGGACAUGUAAGAGUUCCAGAAAGAAGGCCUACACAUGCCCGUUCUUCAUCUUCGAAGGUUGUAUCGUAAGGCGACACAGUUGAAACAUGAAAUACCAUGAUGCUGUCAUCUCAACCAUUAAUGACUGCCAGAAGAUCGGAAUGAUGAUUCGAUAUAUUUGUUCGAUAAAAGGGUGGCCGGGCCUAGGAAAAGUCGAUUUGAUCUUCAGUUUCAUCCUUGUAAAAAUUUCCCGAAUACAGAUGUUUACUAGUAUAAAUGAUUAUGUCAACUUGAUAGCAUGUGAAUCGCGAUAAAUAUGAUUGGAACAGCAGAGUUUCCUGCUGUUAUACA